CAGCAGAGUUGUUUGCCAAAGAGUGACUAUCAAGGCCUUCACUAAUGUUCUAAGGAGGGCACAAUGUUCCACUCCCAAAACAAUGUAACCCAGUGGUUUUCAGCAAGGAAACUGCUAAAUUUCCCAAAGGAUUCCUUACUGUUAGUAAGACUUCUGAAAAUUAACUAGUGAGAAUAAAUGCCACGAAAUCUAACAUUAGUACUCUGAACUGAAUUUGCUUAUGCCGGACCUCUAAACAAUAAAUUGUGUUCUGCUGUGUUGCUAUGCCCGUUCAUGAGGCAUAGCCAUUUUAAAGUAAAGCAUCUUGGAGAUUCCAAAAGAGCAGAAUGGGGAAGGGGUGUACUGCUUUAGGCUAGGGGAAAACAGCAAAAAAAAAAGUGGAUGAAGUAUAUUCUUAGGGGAGACUUGGAGAGCAAACUACAGGAAGUGCUGAGGAAGGAAGAAGGACACCGUGGAUCAUGGUGGAAGGCCCACGUGGACGCAAAGCAGCAAGCACAGACACAGCACAUGACCCAGGAGCCGAGAGCAGGAGACUGCACCAGCUUUGGAGACUGUCGGACACAUUGCUGGGGAAAGCCAGACAUGAGCCUCCUUCAGCACCGGACACAGCCUAGGAUCCUGCUGGGCUCAGGACCUCCCCUCCCAUCUCUAGUCCCACGAGGAAUGUUUGUUCCCGUUCUCUGCUGGGGGAGUUUUUUCAUGGCGGGGCCUCAUCCUCGACGAAGCUGUGGGACUCAGAGCCAGGCUCUGUGUGGCCCGACGAUCCUGCUGACCCUGGCCUCCUGCAGACCAUGGGCCGCCAUACCCCUGGCCGCAUUUCCAGCUUUUCAAGUGGGAAGAAACCACCCCGUGUCCCAGGACUUGCACUUCUGUGGGCCAUCCUCAGCAAGGUUCGGAGUCAGUGGGGGUGGGCAGCGGCUCAGCCAUGAAGAAGCCGAGAAGCGAUGUCUGCCUCCCCUCCUCCCUCCCAGAAGAUCUGGAUGUGAAACUAACCCAGAGUGGACGCUGAAGCUCAGCUGCCAAGUAAUCUCCCAUUCCCGGAGAGACUGCACAGCUUCCUGCUCAAUGCCAGCUGGGCCUUCAUCCUGGAGAGGAGCAACUGGUAACAGCACUGUCCCUCGUGCCCUCAUAGCUAGAUUGCCAAGCAGCUGUUUGGAAGCAAGUCUUCCCACUACACCAGCCCUGCACAUUGUGUGUCCUCCAGAGGCACCAUAGAUUGGAAAUGAAUCCUGGUGCCUGGCUAGCAAGACAGCAGUAGCCAGUGAGACAUGACGAGAUCUCAGAAGGAGAGUAUAUGUGUGAACUUAUCCUCAGGCUCCUCUGUACCCUAGCUUUACUGCAAACACACAGGUAAAGUAUAAAUGGUGUCCACCUCAGAAAUGAAUCGCAUUCUGAGGCUUUUUACUCAUUCUCCUUCUAGUGCUUGGCUUACAGAGUGGGUAUAGAAUGAUGGAGUUACAUACAUGUGUGUUACUUUCUGAGUGCAUCCUUUAAUUCUCCCUGCCUAGGGCAUCAUUGCUCUUCAAGGGCAGGGGAAAAACCACCUCAGAUCAUAUAUUUAUAUCUUCUCUUCUCCCUGAACACUUUGUAACUCUCAGAAUCUUCUAGAAUCCAGGCACAGACAUUCAUGGAUACUCUAUCUUUUCAGUAGGCAAGAGAUUUUAGAAAGGGAAGCAGUUCUCCUGCCCUGCACCUAUUUUCACUGCACAAAAGUCAGUCAUAUCAAGUGUACAAGUUUAGUAACUGGAGGCCACUGGUGGGCUGCAGCCCAAUUCCAAAAGAAAGACAAUUAUUAUUUUUGGAAACAGUGUCCAAACUAAAAUAAUGCAGAUACAGUAGCCUGUCAAUAGAGUCCUUAAUAUUUUUCCUAAUCCUUUUUAUCCUUGGAGUUGGUGCUUUCUCAUGUAAAGAACCUACAGAAUCAUAGACUUAAUGCUGACUUAAGUUGGCUUUCCCAAAUAUCAAAUAUCAGGCAUUAUCUGUAGUUGAGGACCUUCAUGAGUUUGAAGAUCAUGUCAUUUUACACGGAGCCUUCUCUGUAAGGAUAAGACAAAGGGAUUUGUCCUUUGCUAAAAUGUUCAGUGGUGUAGCAGUAGAAAGGGGGGUCUGCCACUGUAGCACAGUGAGCUAAGCUGCUGUCUGCAGUGCCUGCAACCCUAUAUGGGCUCUGGUUUGAGUCCCAACUGUACUGUUUCUGAUCCAGCUCCCUGCUGAAGGCCUGGGAAAGCAGUGGGAGAUGGCACAAGUUCUUGUUCCACUGCACCCCCUUGGGACAUCCAGAGGAUGCUUCUGGCUCCCGAGUGGGGCCUGGCCUAGUCCUGGGUAUUGCAGCCAUUUGGGGAGUACAUUGAAUAUCUGUCUCUCUCUCCCCCUCUCCUUCUCUCUCUCUCUCAAACUGCAUUUCAAAUAAAUUUUAAAAAGUUCUUACUAGAAGAAAGAUC
Long non-coding RNA from Oryctolagus cuniculus (rabbit), 2441 nucleotides. NCBI's taxonomy places the organism in Eukaryota, Metazoa, Chordata, Mammalia, Lagomorpha, Leporidae. The record is from Ensembl.